Molecule: long non-coding RNA, 337 nt
Filed under: Homo sapiens (human)
Lineage: Eukaryota; Metazoa; Chordata; Mammalia; Primates; Hominidae
Description: non-protein coding LINC02217:45
Source: RNAcentral
UGUGUGCCAGGAAUCAAAGCUGGAGGAGCGGAAGUCAAAUACUUCAUGUUGAUCUGUCUUUGGGAUCACUGAGCCAAUCUUCAGCUAUACUGUUCAGCUCAUCUGAUAUACAGGGAGUCCACGGAGCCUCCCCUGCAAGCAUCAGUACAGAAGUCGAUGAUAAUCUGGAUGCAAGCCCAGGAGUGUGGAGUCCACUGACUCAGAAGACCUGCAUCUAAGGAAUUGGCUGUUCUUAUCCUUAAGAAUGAUGACUGUGUUUCCAAUUCCAGUAGACCCUUUGAUGCGUUCUGAAUAAAUAUUCCUUUUGGAAUUGAACUUCUAGAGCCCUUAACUUUGG